This 479-nucleotide ribosomal RNA is filed under the name uncultured organism. RNAcentral's name for it is "partial 16S ribosomal RNA". It matches the Rfam family "Bacterial small subunit ribosomal RNA", at positions 331 to 801 of the family's 1533-position model. The record is from RNAcentral.
GUACACUCCUACGGGAGGCAGCAGUGGGGAAUUUUGGAGAAUGGGCGAAAGCCUGAUCCAGCAAUGCCGCGUGAGUGAAGAAGGCCUUCGGGUUGUAAAGCUCUUUUGUCAGGGAAGAAACGGUGAAAGCUAAUAUCUUUUGCUAAUGACGGUACCUGAAGAAUAAGCACCGGCUAACUACGUGCCAGCAGCCGCGGUAAUACGUAGGGUGCAAGCGUUAAUCGGAAUUACUGGGCGUAAAGCGUGCGCAGGCGGUUUUGUAAGUCUGAUGUGAAAUCCCCGGGCUCAACCUGGGAAUUGCAUUGGAGACUGCAAGGCUAGAAUCUGGCAGAGGGGGGUAGAAUUCCACGUGUAGCAGUGAAAUGCGUAGAUAUGUGGAGGAACACCGAUGGCGAAGGCAGCCCCCUGGGUCAAGAUUGACGCUCAUGCACGAAAGCGUGGGGAGCAAACAGGAUUAGAAACCCCAGUAGUCCCAUGAU